CAGAUCAGUGAAAAGCAGGCCUUCAUGCUUAAUAAAAUUGGUGAAACUAGUCCGGGACAAGUCUAGUAGUCUCUAGUUUCCUAGAUCUUUUGCUUUCCAAAAAUUGGUCCUACUCCGCUUGCAGAGCUCGGUGAAUAUGAAUAGCGACAGCAAUCGAGUAUAUACUCGGUUAAUUACCAGUGCGCGCUAACACAGAUUUCUGUUAAAGUUUCUAUGAGUUUCUUAAAGUCCAAUUUGACCAAACUACCCGAAACCUGUCUGUACGUGUUACUCGUGAUGAACGUUCCGCUUCUUACACAUACAACCAAAGAGUUCCAACCUGUUUAUUUGUUAGUUUCCCGCCAAAUUCUUUCAAUGUAUUGGAGUUUCGGUAGCCGUGACUUGCUGCCUGGUAGAUUUGUUUGUAUGAAUUCGUGGUGUAAUAAUGAUAAUGUGGUGUAAUUCGCAUACGCAAGGCAGUGAACACAGCCAGACUUCACGUAAACAAUGAACAGCUGUUGUGUUUGGCAGCAUUAAUGAAGCGCUUAAAAUGACAACAAAAUUUUUAACAAAUACAGAAAACAGUAUUUUUAAAGCGGCUAUUAAAAAAUAAUCCAGUAUAUUUGAACUGGAACUGGAAAAGCUGAAAUAAGAAUUGUCCUUGCAAAUAUGCGUGAAGACUAGUUAACACAAUGGAGCAACUCAGGUUUGUGAUUUAAAAUAUUAAGCAUUUUUCGACGGUUUUAAACAUAUCCUGUCGGCUGCUGUUUCACAAAUAAGUAGAAGUCAAAAGUUAAAUCUUGGUAAGCCAGAUGUUUGGAAAUCAGAGCUUAAAAAAAUGCAGUUGGAUAUGAAACCAGUAGCGUAUUAGUAGCAGAAGUCCAAUAUAUUUUAUUCAUAAAUAAUUUCAAGUUACAAGCUUUUUUUAUAUUGCGUCGCAAUCAACGGUAUUACUGAUUAUCAUAUUUCGAAUUGGCAUUAAGGAGUUAUUAUCACUUUGUUGUUAAAAUUUUACAUUUGUAGUUGAAUCCCAUUACCAGACAAGGUCACAUAUCCAUACCUCCUUCACACAUAAAACCCAUUUCGAAAUACAAAGGCUCCUGCUUAAAUGCUUUCGGAAAAAGUCAGCAACUCAUCAAGCGCACAGUAAAAAUGGCCAGUGAUUAUGACAUGACAUAAAACUACAACGCGCUCUAUAGGGCUCUUUGGCUGAAUUUAAAUGUCCUGCCACCACACAACAACUACUAAUAAGUAUUUUCAGACAACUGUUUUGGUGGCAAACCCUCUGAUUCCUCAAUAACGAUCUGGUAACACCAAUAUCGAACACAACAACCAGCGUUUGCACGUGUAUAAAAGAAAAGGAGAAUAUAAAACUGAAGUAGAAAGCGAAUAAUUACUGUGUGACAUACAAAAGCAUUCGUUCCAACAACAAAAUAUUGUGUAUAUUGUGCAAUAAAUUAUGCAAUUAAUGCAAACAUUAAAAGUAAAAUAUUGUAUAAAAAAUUGUUUUUAUUGAACAUAUGAGGCAUCGAGUGAGUGGCUAAUGACACAGGGUACUAACAUCAUUUCCUGAAACAUAUUUAAGCAAACGAAGGCAUUUUGAGUGUAAUUUCCAUGAAAAUUCGCGAUUUGCAUCACAUUUUUAAUUUUAUAAACUCCCGGGUAAUUCCAACAGGGAGUUCACUUAGUCAGGAUUGUAGCCCAAGCGUUUCUGCAAAAUCCAAAAUUGAGAUCACCAAAAUCCAACCGCUGGUUCAAAAGUUAUAAGCAUUUGUGUUUCGCUGCUAUCCGGCGCUGCCGACGUCGGCUGCGGAAAAAUGCAUUUCAAUUUGGUGCGAAAAACUGGGAUUUCUACCAGGCGACCAGAAGCAGGCAGUAGGUGGCUGCGAAAUAGAAAAAUGCGAAUUGUGGCCAAACGGAGACACUUAGAGCCAUGCGGUUUUUACUGGUCUCUUCAGAAUCGCAUGGCCCAAAAGUGUAUAAAAAAAUGGUUGAUGUUGUUGCACUGUAAACAUUUAUAAAAAUUAAAAUAUGUUGCAAUCGCCAACAAAUAUGAGAAAACAGCAUAAAACACCAGCAAAUGCUAACAUUAGUUGGACAUUAUGGGCAUAAAAAGUUGCAGGGAGGCCUGCAGAUUAUUCGGAGUACCAUUAAUGUUAAGUAGCUCCAUUUUUUGUAAAA
This is a long non-coding RNA of Zeugodacus cucurbitae (melon fly), 2160 nucleotides long. RefSeq lists it as uncharacterized. NCBI's taxonomy places the organism in Eukaryota, Metazoa, Arthropoda, Insecta, Diptera, Tephritidae. The record is from RefSeq and is a predicted model, not a curated record. The transcript has 7 exons.